UACGUAGGGGGCUAGCGUUGUCCGGAAUCAUUGGGCGUAAAGAGCGCGUAGGCGGCCAGAUAAGUCCGGUGUGAAAGUCACAGGCUCAACCUGUGAAUGCCGCUGGAAACUGUCUGGCUAGAGUCCGGGAGGGGCGAGUGGAAUUCCUGGUGUAGCGGUGAAAUGCGCAGAUAUCAGGAGGAACACCAGUGGCGAAGGCGCCGCUCUGGGCCGUGACUGACGCUGAGGAGCGAAAGCGUGGGUAGCAAACAGG
This 253-nucleotide ribosomal RNA is filed under the name uncultured bacterium. Its description in RNAcentral is "partial 16S ribosomal RNA". It matches the Rfam family "Bacterial small subunit ribosomal RNA", at positions 524 to 776 of the family's 1533-position model. The record is from RNAcentral.